Molecule: long non-coding RNA, 219 nt
Filed under: Gossypium barbadense (sea-island cotton)
Lineage: Eukaryota; Viridiplantae; Streptophyta; Magnoliopsida; Malvales; Malvaceae
Description: long non-coding RNA (GBAR_LNC022971)
Source: RNAcentral
CGUUUUAAUCUUUAAACAAUGAAAAAUGACAAUUUAGUCAUCCAACUAUUUGAGAUUAUAUAUUUUGUUCACCCGAUGAAUUAAAUAAUAUGAAUUAAAAUACUACAUAAACUAUUUCAUUUUAUAUUAAUUGUAUAAUAUAAAUUAAAUAUUAUUAUAACUGGUAUAUAUAUCAUCUCUAUUUGCUUUUAAUUCUAAAAUAUUUAACCCUUAACAUUU